Molecule: ribosomal RNA, 397 nt
Filed under: uncultured bacterium
Lineage: Bacteria
Description: partial 16S ribosomal RNA
Rfam family: Bacterial small subunit ribosomal RNA
Source: RNAcentral
AUACGCAGGUGCCAAGCGUUAUCCGGAUUUACUGGGCGUAAAGGGCGUGUAGGCGGUCUUGCAAGUCAGAAGUGAAAUUCCUGAGCUCAACUCGGGCGCUGCUUCUGAAACUGCAGGACUUGAGUGCUGGAGGGGAUAGCGGAAUUCCUAGUGGAGCGGUAAAAUGCGCAGAUAUUAGGAAGAACACCGGUGGCGAAGGCGGCUAUCUGGACAGUAACUGACGCUGAGGCGCGAAAGCGUGGGGAGCAAACGGGAUUAGAUACCCUGAUAGUCCACGCCGUAAACGAUGAAUACUAGGUGUAGGGGGUAUCGACUCCCUCUGUGCCGCAGUUAACACAAUAAGUAUUCCGCCUGGGGAGUACGGCCGCAAGGUUGAAACUCAAAGGAAUUGACGGGU